Molecule: ribosomal RNA, 1077 nt
Filed under: Frigoribacterium sp. 1056G88
Lineage: Bacteria; Bacillati; Actinomycetota; Actinomycetes; Micrococcales; Microbacteriaceae
Description: bacterial SSU rRNA
Rfam family: Bacterial small subunit ribosomal RNA
Source: RNAcentral
UGCAGUCGAACGGUGAAAGAGGAGCUUGCUCCUCUGGAUCAGUGGCGAACGGGUGAGUAACACGUGAGUAACCUGCCCCAGACUCUGGGAUAAGCACUGGAAACGGUGUCUAAUACCGGAUACGAGCUUCAGCCGCAUGGCUAGGAGCUGGAAAGAAUUUCGGUCUGGGAUGGACUCGCGGCCUAUCAGCUAGUUGGUGAGGUAAUGGCUCACCAAGGCGACGACGGGUAGCCGGCCUGAGAGGGUGACCGGCCACACUGGGACUGAGACACGGCCCAGACUCCUACGGGAGGCAGCAGUGGGGAAUAUUGCACAAUGGGCGCAAGCCUGAUGCAGCAACGCCGCGUGAGGGACGACGGCCUUCGGGUUGUAAACCUCUUUUAGUAGGGAAGAAGCGAAAGUGACGGUACCUGCAGAAAAAGCACCGGCUAACUACGUGCCAGCAGCCGCGGUAAUACGUAGGGUGCAAGCGUUAUCCGGAAUUAUUGGGCGUAAAGAGCUCGUAGGCGGUUUGUCGCGUCUGCUGUGAAAACUGGAGGCUCAACCUCCAGCCUGCAGUGGGUACGGGCAGACUAGAGUGCGGUAGGGGAGAUUGGAAUUCCUGGUGUAGCGGUGGAAUGCGCAGAUAUCAGGAGGAACACCGAUGGCGAAGGCAGAUCUCUGGGCCGUAACUGACGCUGAGGAGCGAAAGCAUGGGGAGCGAACAGGAUUAGAUACCCUGGUAGUCCAUGCCGUAAACGUUGGGAACUAGAUGUAGGGACCAUUCCACGGUUUCUGUGUCGCAGCUAACGCAUUAAGUUCCCCGCCUGGGGAGUACGGCCGCAAGGCUAAAACUCAAAGGAAUUGACGGGGGCCCGCACAAGCGGCGGAGCAUGCGGAUUAAUUCGAUGCAACGCGAAGAACCUUACCAAGGCUUGACAUAUACCGGAAAAGUUCAGAAAUGUUCUCCCCGCAAGGUCGGUAUACAGGUGGUGCAUGGUUGUCGUCAGCUCGUGUCGUGAGAUGUUGGGUUAAGUCCCGCAACGAGCGCAACCCUCGUUCUAUGUUGCCAGCACGUAAUGGUGGGAACUCAUAGGA